UACGGGGGGGGCAAGCGUUGUUCGGAAUUACUGGGCGUAAAGGGCUCGUAGGUGGCCAACUAAGUCAGACGUGAAAUCCCCAGGCUCAACUUGGGAACUGCGUCUGAUACUGGAUGGCUUGAAUUCGGGAGAGGGAUGCAGAAUUCCAGGUGUAGCGGUGAAAUGCGUAGAUAUCUGGAGGAAUACCGGUGGCGAAGGCGGCAUCCUGGACCGAGAUUGACGCUGAGGCGCGAAAGCGUGGGGAGCAAACAGG
This 253-nucleotide ribosomal RNA is filed under the name uncultured bacterium. RNAcentral describes it as "partial 16S ribosomal RNA". It matches the Rfam family "Bacterial small subunit ribosomal RNA", at positions 524 to 776 of the family's 1533-position model. The record is from RNAcentral.